Gorilla gorilla gorilla (western lowland gorilla) is the source of this 449-nucleotide long non-coding RNA. RefSeq lists it as uncharacterized. NCBI's taxonomy places the organism in Eukaryota, Metazoa, Chordata, Mammalia, Primates, Hominidae. The record is from RefSeq and is a predicted model, not a curated record. The transcript has 4 exons.
GCCACACUUUGAGAACGCUCAGGAAGAAUUAGCAAAACUGAUCCUGCCAUAAACAAUACAACCCAAAGAGUUCUUUCCUGAGACUAAAAUUAUUUGGCUACGAGGAGGGAAGGAUGGUGAAGAAUACAGUUUAGGAAGUGAUCUAGCUGAGAAAGUUGCAGUUGGAUUAGAGUCAAAAAUUCCAGAGCAGCAGGCCCAAGGAAGAAUAACAGUAUGCAGAAAUGAGGCAUUUGGCUGCUUAAGAAAUCAAGAGAGGGGCACACAAACAGAUCUGCUUCAGAAAGCUACAGCAGAGGCAUCUGUCAUUAUUACUGUGAAGACAUUCAUGCUUGGAGGUGAAGCAAUUGUCUCAUGAACUUCUGCUUCACCUUCCACCAUGAUUGUAAGCUUCCAGAGGCUUCCCCAGAAGGAGAUGCCAACUCCAUGCUUCCUGUGCAGCCUGCAGCACC